Molecule: long non-coding RNA, 686 nt
Organism: Sorghum bicolor (sorghum)
Lineage: Eukaryota; Viridiplantae; Streptophyta; Magnoliopsida; Poales; Poaceae
Exons: 3
Source: RefSeq, a predicted model, not a curated record
AGCGACAAAUUCUUUAUAGAAAUCAAAGGCUCUCAAGUUACAUAGCCACCUUAAUGUUCAUAUCGUGGCUAUUUGGAGCAGCUCAAUCAUUUUUUCUGGCUCAUAAAUUUUCUAUCAUUUUACCGUACCUAAACAUUCUGGCUAAUGUUUCUCACAUCCCUCGUGCAAGGCAGCAAAUUGACAGACGGACCUACAGCUAUGAUUCAAGCAGUUCACCCCUUCUAAACCCAGGUCUCCUCUGUAAUCCUCCCUAGCCUGUGUAAGUGUAAUCUUUGCGCUUGGGCCAAUGACGCAGCUUAUGAGGUCAUACCGAGAGCUGUAUCAAUUGCUGGUUCAAAACUAUUUCCAAACCCCCUCUUCGGCCAUCUGGCCCACUGAGAAUUUCUGGAAGGCUCCUCUUCAGAAAAGGGGAGGCCCUAAAAAAGUUAGUGUAAUGUGUAAUGCAGCUUUAUUGGUCUAUGUUACUCCAACGAUCAACUAGAAAGGCCAUUUGCGAACAAAGCUGUCCGGAUACAGAUUGAUGGGCACAGUGCUCGACUUUCAUUGUGCGACAUGUUGGAGCACAACAAGCCCAGAGCUCGGAUCGUCUCCCUAGAACCCCGGUGAUCGCGGCGAGUUCAAGUUCUAACAGAUGCGAUAAACACGAGAAGACAAAAUUAUGAUGCUGCCCAUCACCGCAGCAUGGU